UCUCCCACUAACUUGGGUUGGACCUGAUACGUCGGAGAUAGAAAGGCAGAGAGAGGCGAGGUUGAGCAGAAGUUGGGAUGACAGAGAAGUCUCUAUCGGUUUGGUUAUUAUUCUUUACAAUGACAUAUUUUUUAAAAAAUUGUGCAGAGGCAAAUGCGAGUGAAGCUGAUAGUCUCGUUGUUCAGCUACAAUCGACCAUUCUCUCUUCUGCCUGUGGUGAUUUCGCUGCUACUUCAGCUUAGAUUUCUUCUAAUGGAGAAAGACUUUAAUAGUUAAAGGUUUGCUCCUACAAGUGAGAAUGUAAUACAACAAUGGAAGGGCUUGACCUUUUUGGGGAGCUACAUACUGCUACUACUGUACUUAACUAAAUGAUGCUUCCUAGAAACAUGAUAAAGAAUUAUGAGACUGGAGCCUAGUCAGUGAAGUUGGGUUAAGGUUCUAGGCAACAAAUAUUUAUUGUACGGUGCUUUACAUGCUCAUGGCUUGUUAUGCUUUUGGAUAAAUAGUUUCAGGAGCCAAAUGGACAAGGAGUAGAUUGAUAUUCAAGGAGACAUAGGAUAUGGAAUUAUAGAUUUUGUAGAAGAAAUUCAAUGUAACAUAUCUUAUCAUUCACACCCAUUCUUUGUUGUGUUAGAUUAAACUCUUCCUCCUAUUGUCUUAACUUGUCUGAAAUUGGAAGUGCCAAUACUUCAGAUAUUUGCCGUAAUGUACAUCACACCUUUAUACAUCAAGAGCUAAAAGCCAAACGAGGAUAAGUUGCAGGAUGGUUGUUUUUUCAUCAUAUAAGAAAUAAGAAGUCCUUUAUUAA
Molecule: long non-coding RNA, 808 nt
Organism: Carica papaya (papaya)
Lineage: Eukaryota; Viridiplantae; Streptophyta; Magnoliopsida; Brassicales; Caricaceae
Source: RefSeq, a predicted model, not a curated record